CCUCUGUUGUGGAGAAGCUCUUGCUGCUCAACUUUCCAAGUCCUCUGUUUGAGGAACUUCCAUUCCCUUUUCAUUCACAAACAGGUUUUGGGCAGCAGGACACUAGCAUUGCUGCUACUGAGUGCUGGUUGGUUGGUGAGUGGAGCAGCUCAUUGGUUGUUUGGGGCCACAGAUGUCCUGAACCUACAUGAGUGUUUCUCCCUCUAGUGUUUAUGGAACCUGGAAGAUAUUAGAGUGGAACACACCCUGGAGGUAGUGCUACCUCUUCAUCCUCAGAUGUUGAACUGAUAGCAGAUUUGAUGGUACAGUGAGUCACUAUCAAAGUGGUAUACAAGACAUGAUGGACCAGGGCUAACUGGUUAGCUUGCUAACUUCAGUAGAUAUCUCUACAACACGAUGGACAUCUUUGACAAUGUCAGAACUGUUAUUUCUUCACAUUCUGUUUAUAAUUUUGAAACAUUUUAAAUUAAAAACAUAUAAAUUCAAA
This is a long non-coding RNA of Pygocentrus nattereri (red-bellied piranha), 487 nucleotides long. RefSeq lists it as uncharacterized. NCBI's taxonomy places the organism in Eukaryota, Metazoa, Chordata, Actinopteri, Characiformes, Serrasalmidae. The record is from RefSeq and is a predicted model, not a curated record. The transcript is spliced from 3 exons.